CUACGGGCCGCAGCAGUGGGGAAUUUUGGACAAUGGAGGAAACUCUGAUCCAGGGAUACCGCGUGGGUGAUGAAGAUUUACGGAUUGUAAAGCCCUUUUAGUAGGGAAAAUAAUGAUGGUACCUACAGAAAAAGCAUCAGCUAACUCUGUGCCAGCAGCUGCGGUAAUACAGAGGAUGCGAGUGUUAUUCGGAAUCACUGGGCGUAAAGGGCGCGUAGGCGGUUAUUUAAGUCCGCAAUGAAAUACCGGGGCUCAACUUCGGUGCUGUUGUGGAUACUGUUUAACUAGAGAACGGAAGAGGUGAAUAGAAUUCCUGGUGGAGAGGUGAAAUUCUUAGAUAUCAGGAGGAAUGCCAGAGGCGAAAGCGGUUCACUGGGACGUUUCUGACGCUGAGGCGCGAAAGCGUGGGGAUCAAACAGGAUUAGAUACCCCAGUAGUC
This 439-nucleotide ribosomal RNA is filed under the name uncultured bacterium. RNAcentral describes it as "partial 16S ribosomal RNA". It matches the Rfam family "Bacterial small subunit ribosomal RNA", at positions 339 to 795 of the family's 1533-position model. The record is from RNAcentral.